Molecule: ribosomal RNA, 505 nt
Filed under: uncultured bacterium
Lineage: Bacteria
Description: partial 16S ribosomal RNA
Rfam family: Bacterial small subunit ribosomal RNA
Source: RNAcentral
GACGAACGCUGGCGGCGUGCCUAAUACAUGCAAGUAGAACGCACAGUUUAUACCGUAGCUUGCUACACCAUAGACUGUGAGUUGCGAACGGGUGAGUAACGCGUAGGUAACCUGCCUGGUAGCGGGGGAUAACUAUUGGAAACGAUAGCUAAUACCGCAUAAUAUUGAUUAUUGCAUGAUAAUUGAUUGAAAGAUGCUAUUGCAUCACUACCAGAUGGACCUGCGUUGUAUUAGCUAGUAGGUGAGGUAACGGCUCACCUAGGCGACGCUACAUAGCCGACCUGAGAGGGUGAUCGGCCACACUGGGACUGAGACACGGCCCAGACUCCUACGGGAGGCAGCAGUAGGGAAUCUUCGGCAAUGGACGAAAGUCUGACCGAGCAACGCCGCGGGAGUGAAGAAGGUUUUCGGAUCGUAAAGCUCUGUUGUAAGAGAAGAACGGGUGUGAGAGUGGAAAGUUCACACUGUGACGGUAUCUUACCAGAAAGGGACGGCUAACUACGUG